GACGAACGCUGGCGGCGUGCCUAAUACAUGCAAGUCGAACGAAACUUUCUUACACCGAAUGCUUGCAUUCACCGUAAGAAGUUGAGUGGCGGACGGGUGAGUAACACGUGGGUAACCUGCCUAAAAGAAGGGGAUAACACUUGGAAACAGGUGCUAAUACCGUACAUCUCUAAGGAUCGCAUGAUCCUUAGAUGAAAGAUGGUUCUGCUAUCGCUUUUAGGUGGACCCGCGGCGUAUUAACCAGUUGGUGGGGUAACGGCCUACCAAGGUGAUGAUACUUAGCCGAACUGAGAGGUUGAUCGGCCACAUUGGGACUGAGACACGGCCCAAACUCCUACGGGAGGCAGCAGUAGGGAAUCUUCCACAAUGGACGCAAGUCUGAUGGAGCAACGCCGCGUGAGUGAAGAAGGUCUUCGGAUCGUAAAGCUCUGUUGUUAGAGAAGAACACGAGUGAGAGUAACUGUUCAUUCGAUGACGGUAUCUAACCAGCAAGUCACGGCUAACUACGUGCCAGCCGCCGCGGUAA
This 526-nucleotide ribosomal RNA is filed under the name uncultured bacterium. Its description in RNAcentral is "partial 16S ribosomal RNA". It matches the Rfam family "Bacterial small subunit ribosomal RNA", at positions 28 to 523 of the family's 1533-position model. The record is from RNAcentral.